AUUUAUGGCCAUACCACCCUGAACACGCCCGAUCUCGUCUGAUCACAGAAGCUAAGCAGGGUUGGGCCUGGUUAGUACUUGGAUGGGAGACUUUAGAAUGAAUAUCUAUUGUUUUUAUAA
RNAcentral lists this ribosomal RNA (120 nucleotides) under Callithrix jacchus (white-tufted-ear marmoset). Lineage: Eukaryota; Metazoa; Chordata; Mammalia; Primates; Cebidae. The record is from RNAcentral.